Long non-coding RNA from Gasterosteus aculeatus aculeatus (three-spined stickleback), 2030 nucleotides. NCBI's taxonomy places the organism in Eukaryota, Metazoa, Chordata, Actinopteri, Perciformes, Gasterosteidae. The record is from Ensembl.
CAACAAUUGAAAUCAGGCUUAAAAUGUCGACUGAAACCUUUGUGUGUCAUUAAUUACACAAACGCUCAUUAACUCAAGAUCAUUGUUGUUUCACUUCAUUCAAGUCAACGAGUAAUAAAGAACAUGUGAUUCUCUUUGGUCUGAAGAAAACAAGACGGAUUCAUUUGGUUUUAUUUUUAUUAAAAUGUAUUUUCAUUGUUAAAAUAAUAAACAUUUAUAAACCAUAAUAAACAACAUAUUUAACAAUAAUAAUAAAACAAUCAUUGGGAAAACAUCUGAAGCAGUUCCUGAGAAGAGAGAAAAGAAGAAGUUAUUAACAUGUUAAUGUUGUUAGUGUGUCUGUGUGUACAUCUAAAUGUUAGUGUGUCUGUGUGUACAUCUAAAUGUUAGUGUGUCUGUGUGUACAUCUAAAUAUUAAUAUGUCUUUGUGUACAUCUAAAUAUUAGUGUGUGUCUUUGUUUAGUACCAAAUGUUAGUGUGUCUGUGUGUACAUCUAAAUAUUAAUGUCUUUGUGUACAUCUAAAUAUUAGUGUGUGUCUUUGUGUACAUCUAAAUGUUAGUGUGUGUCUUUGUUUAGAACCAAAUGUUAGUGUGUCUGUGUGUACAUCUAAUUGUUAGUGUGUCUGUGUGUACAUCUAAAUAUUAGUGUGUGUCUUUGUGUACAUCUAAAUGUUAGUGUGUGUCUUUGUUUAGAACCAAAUGUUAGUGUGUCUGUGUGUACAUCUAAUUGUUAGUGUGUCUGUGUGUACAUCUAAUUGUUAGUGUGUCCCGAUGACGUAGUGUCCCGAUGACGUGGUGUCCUGAUGGCGUCCUGAUGGCAUCCCGAUGACGUGGCGUCCUGAUGGCGUCCUGUUGGUCUGCAGACAAGGAGAAGAGACGUGAGGAGGAUCAUCAGGAUGUGUCUGUGUGUACAUCUAAUUGUUAGUGUGUCUGUGUGUACAUCUAAUUGUUAGUGUGUCUGUGUGUACAUCUAAUUGUUAGUGUGUCUGUGUGUACAUAUAAAUGUUAGUGUGUCUGUGUGUACAUCUAAAUAUUAAUGUGUCUUUGUGUACAUCUAAAUAUUAGUGUGUGUCUUUGUUUAGAACCAAAUGUUAGUGUGUCUGUGUGUACAUCUAAUUGUUAGUGUGUCUGUGUGUGGAUCUAAUUGUUAGUGUGUCUGUGUGUACAUCUAAAUAUUAAUGUGUCUUUGUGUACAUCUAAAUGUUAGUGUGUGUCUUUGUUUAGAACCAAAUGUUAACGUGUCUGAGUACAUCUGUGUGUGUGUGUGUGUGUGUGUGUGUGUGGGUGUGUGUGUGUGUGUCAUGAGUAGAUUUGGAUUUGCUCCUGAGGGGUUGACGCGGCGUCCUGAUGGCGUCCUGAUGGCGUCCCGAUGACGUGGUGUCCUGAUGGCGUCCCGAUGACGUGGCGUCCUGAUGGCGUCCUGUUAGUCUGCAGACAAGGAGAAGAGACGUAAGGAGGAUCAUCAGGAUGUGUCUGUGUGUACAUCUAAUUGUUAGUGUGUCUGUGUGUAGAUCUAAUUGUUAGUGUGUCCGUGUGUUCAUCUAAUUGUUAGUGUGUCUGUGUGUAGAUCUAAUUGUUAGUGUGUCUGUGUGUACUUCUAAUUGUUAUUGUGUCUUUGUGUACAUCUAAAUAUCAGUGUGUGUGAGUACAUCUGUGUGCGUGUGUGUGUGUGUGUGUGGGUGUAUGUGUGUGUGUGUGUGUCAUGAGUAGAUUUGGAUUUGCUCCUGAGGGGUUGACGCGGCGUCCUGAUGGCGUCCUGAUGGCGUCCCGAUGACGUGGUGUCCUGAUGGCGUCCUGAUGGCGUCCCGAUGACAUGGCGUCCUGAUGGCGUCCCGAUGACAUGGUGUCCUGAUGGCGUCCUGAUGGCGUCCUGUUGGUCUGCAGACAAGGAGAAGAGACGUGAGGAGGAUCAUCAGGAUGUGUCUGUGUGUACAUCUAAUUGUUACUAAAUAUUAGUGUGUGUCAUUGUUUAGAACCAAAUGUUAGUGUGUCUGUGUGUACAUCUGUGUGUGUGUGUGGGGGGGGAGUGU